ACGGGUGAGUAACACGUAAGGAACCUGCCCCAAGGAUUGGGAUAACUCCGAGAGAUCGGAGCUAAUACCGAAUAGUUCUUCAGACCGCAUGGUCUGAUGAUGAAAGGCGCUCCGGCGUCACCUUGGGAUGGCCUUGCGGUGCAUUAGCUAGUUGGUGGGGUAACGGCUCACCAAGGCGACGAUGCAUAGCCGACCUGAGAGGGUGAUCGGCCACACUGGGACUGAGACACGGCCCAGACUCCUACGGGAGGCAGCAGUAGGGAAUCUUCCACAAUGGACGAAAGUCUGAUGGAGCAACGCCGCGUGAGUGAUGAAGGUUUUCGGAUCGUAAAACUCUGUUGUAAGGGAAGAACAAGUACGAGAGGUAAUGCUCGUACCUUGACGGUACCUUGCGAGAAAGCCACGGCUAACUACGUGCCAGCAGCCGCGGUAAUACGUAGGUGGCAAGCGUUGUCCGGAAUUAUUGGGCGUAAAGCGCGCGCAGGCGGCCUUUUAAGUCUGAUGUGAAAGCCCCCGGCUCAACCGGGGAGGGUCAUUGGAAACUGGAAGGCUUGAGUACAGAAGAGA
Molecule: ribosomal RNA, 567 nt
Filed under: uncultured bacterium
Lineage: Bacteria
Description: bacterial SSU rRNA
Rfam family: Bacterial small subunit ribosomal RNA
Source: RNAcentral